CACACACACACACACACACACACACACACACACACACACACACACACACACACACACACACACACUCAUACUCAUGAAUGCACACAUAUAUAAGCCCUUUAUGGCUCAUUAGGGUCAGGGAAGGAUGGAUACAGAUUGCAGAACUAGUAAGGGUUAAAAAUGAGUUUGAACUAAAAUGUCUCUAGUUAACCUAUAAUAGUCAAAACUUAACUCAAGCAACAGUUACCACAUAAAGCUUCUUAUUUUCUAGGCUUGAAAACUAACUCAACAGCCUAAAUAAAUUUAGAAGUUGAGCUAAACUUCAUAAGACAUGAGAUCUCUAAGAUCUUAAAUGCAAGAUUAGACAAGUUAAAUAAGAAUAUGAAUGGGUCUGAAAAACAGUACUUAAUAGGAUGAGCUUUUAAAAGCUGUCAGUAAAGAGCCCAUGAGAGGAAGAGGGGAGAGGCCUGGUGGAGUAAAGGACCGUAGAACACCACGUGAUUUGAAAGUGGAGGGGGGGGUGUACUGGGAAUAGAAAGGUUUUAAGCAGUGGUAUAGAAUGUUGAAGGAGAGAGUAGAGGAAGUAUUAUCCAAAAUUAAAAAAGAAAGGUUUAUUAAAAAGCCAUAUGGAAAUUUAUUGCUUCAUAAAUGAAUUUAAAAUUAUAAUCUAAACAAGAGCAUUUGCAUGGCACUAGCCUGCAUGGGUGGAUAAUGCUGUUUUCAAAAAGCCAUAUAUUAUUAAAUGAAAAUCUAAUGACAAGAAUUAGAUACUUCUUUAUGAGUUGGUCAGAGAGGCCUCAAACAAUACAAGUUAUUACCACUGUUCUUGAUUCCCACCAGAAAUGCAUGGUAAGAUGAAGACACCACACACUUGGGUUAUAGCACAUGCAGAAAUCAAGUUGGAAUUGAACUGGAAGCUUCCUCCCUUCUGGCUGUUCAUAGUACUGAGGUGCUGUGCAAGCUGCUGGGGGAGUGUGCUGCAAUACUGACUUUCCAGGCAAGCGUGCCCAUGGGGCAAUAGUGGCAUACUAGUCAUGAAGGUAGCCAACCACUUUUUGAUAGAAUUGAUGCCUGCUCCGUAGGAGGAAAUCCAUGCUUAUUGCUGUAAGUCUUAUCAAAAUCCCACGACAAGGAAGGUAAUAGGUCCCUGAUUGUUUUGCAAAUGGACAUGUGAAACAGUUUUCUAAAUAUUUGUUUAUACCCAUAGAUCUUUGGUGCUAUUCAGACUGGUCAGAAAGGCUUCAUUUUGCUGUGGGCAGGGGUUAGUGUAGAGAUACUUAACUGGCCAAAGUGUUAAGAAACUAUUGAGUGUUCAAUCCUAAAUGAGACAUCUUUAGUACCCUUCUAUCCCAUUCCAAGACUCAAGGAAAAUUGCAGAAGAGUGUAUGUGGGGCAAGAGCUGAAGGAUACAGAGAGGUGCUGUUUUCUAGACACGACACACCAUAGCACUUGUGAACUCACAGCAGUUGUGGUUACCUGCACAAGACCUGUACAAGAUGGAGCCCACGGACGUUUCAGCAAAGAUGGGGGAAGGGCUCAUAAGGCUCUACCCUUCGUUGAGAAACCAUUAGCAGCUGGUAAGGGCUGCUAUGAGAGAAGGGAUCACUUUUCUUCAGUGGUGUGAGCUUUCGUAAGAAACCCAUGUUUCAAUGAAUAACACCAUACCUAUUGUGAUGGUUUGAAUGAAAACAGCCCCCAUAGGUCAUAGGGAGUGGCCUUGUAGGAGGAAGUGUGUCGCAGGGCAUGGGCUUUGAGGUUUCCGAAGCUAAAGCCAGGUCCAGUGUCUCUCUCUCUUCUUACUGCCUUCAGCUCCAGAUAUAGAUCCGCCAUGUCUGCCUGCAUUUCAACAUGUUGAUAAUGGACUAAACUUCGGAACUGUAAGCCAGACCAGUUAGAUAUUUUCCUUUGGAAGAGUUGGCAUGAUCAUGGCAUCUAUUCACAGCAAUAAAACCCUAACUAAGAGACCUCACAUACACGAAGUCCACCAAAAAAUAUAAAUAAAUAAAAUAAGUGAAACCAAAGUUUAGAAUAUGGUUUCUUACCUAGACAAACAAACAAACAACCUGCCAGUCUUUGGGGAUGGGGUUGUAACUCAAUAGUAGUCUGCACGCCAAGCAAAUACUACCUAAUAUGCAUGAGGUUCUGAGAAGAGGGAGCUGGUGGUUAGAAAAGGAAAGAACAGUUCUAAGAGACAAGGAACAUACACAAAUGUAAGUGCAUGCACAUAUAUACCAUAUGUGUGUAUGGGGCAUGUGUGUGGGGAGACAGAGAUGGGGUGGGGAGGAAGACCCAGUUAGAAAACAAAAAAUGACAAAAUCAAGGAUCCAUCUGUUCUGCAUUAAACUUUGGCUAAUUUAUUUUAAUAGUGGUGAGAGUACUAUGUCACAGAUGCUUUCAUAAUUGCUCUUAGGAUUUAAAAUAGAAAUCAUCUUUCUUGGGCAAUGUACAAUAUGCUAUAGUCUUGAAAAGAAGAUUUGUUUACUUAGUGUUCCCACUUCUAGGAAUGCAGCUCAACACAAAUAAAAUUGGAGAGCAUGUCAAGAAUUUAUGGAGAACUG
Molecule: long non-coding RNA, 2537 nt
Filed under: Cricetulus griseus (Chinese hamster)
Lineage: Eukaryota; Metazoa; Chordata; Mammalia; Rodentia; Cricetidae
Description: lncRNA (ENSCGRG00015039664.1)
Source: RNAcentral